AAAGACCCUCUUCUGCAUAAUAUGUUCUCCUGCUCUCCGUGGACGGCUCCUUAUUAGGGUGGAAUUGCUGUGGGCCUGUCAUGUUCCUGGGCUACAGUGGGGCUGGCAGAUCUUCAUCCUUCUGCACCUUCUUUUCCUUUAUUCACCUCGAAUCAGAAGCAAGUGAGCACCUAACAGGACUGACACCGGGAUUUAUGACUUUAGAAGUACUUUUUAAACUGUACAGAAAAACAAAUGUUAAGGUGGUGGUUGGUAUUAAACAGACAAAAGGGACAUUUUCGCUCUACACUUUUAAAAGUCAAUGGGAAGAUUUAUUACCUAAAUGGAAAAUGAAAUUUCUUCUUACUUAUGAAUCUUCCUUGGAAAUGGCUGCAUCCCCCAGCUUAACAUAGCUGAGUGUGCAGGUGAUCAUCUGACCUGUUAAAAGCAGGGACUAUAGUGAUCACUGGUGUGGGUUGGAAGAA
RNAcentral lists this long non-coding RNA (464 nucleotides) under Pan troglodytes (chimpanzee). RNAcentral's name for it is "long non-coding RNA NONPTRT004497". The record is from RNAcentral. Lineage: Eukaryota; Metazoa; Chordata; Mammalia; Primates; Hominidae.